Molecule: ribosomal RNA, 208 nt
Filed under: uncultured bacterium
Lineage: Bacteria
Description: partial 16S ribosomal RNA
Rfam family: Bacterial small subunit ribosomal RNA
Source: RNAcentral
UACGGAGGGUGCGAGCGUUGUCCGGAAUCAUUGGGCGUAAAGGGCGCGUAGGUGGCCCGGUCAGUUCGUGGUGAAAGCGCGGGGCUCAACCCUGCGUCGGCCAUGAAUACUCCGCGGCCUGGAGCACUGUAGAGGCAGGCGGAAUUCCGGGGUGUAGCGGUGGAAUGCGUAGAGAUCCGGAAGAACACCGGUGGCGAAGGGCGGCCUG